UGAAAGGCUGUGUCUUGUGGGAGCUCUUUCCUAACUCCUUCCCAUCCAUCUUUACUUCUCUCCUGUUUUUUAUUCCCGUUUCUCCUUUCUCUCUUCUCUCUCACCCUGAUCCACAUAAUGUAUUGCAUUUCGAUUUCGAUUGUGACUUGUUUUCCCUGUAACUUUUGCUGGAAAAAAUUAAGAAAAAUUACUCCUAUCUCUGAUGUCAGUAACAGACUUCCCAUAUACACUGUUGGGAAUGGAGAUAGCGACCCUGAUCCUGAGAAACAGGAGUCACCCAGACCAUCCUAUCCAGCACCUGUGGCCUGGGGAAUCCCAAGUUUCCAAAGGAAUCCAAAAGUGGUCCCACAGGGGGAAAAUGAUAGAAAUGUUGCCUGGCAGUCGUUUUGGACGAGACGAAAAGUGGCCCCACAGGUGAAAAAAUUACCUAUGGUAAUACAAACAAGAUUGUUAUUUCAUAUCUCCUCUGUAUUCCUUCCAUGCAUUUUCACGCAUAAAUAUUUUCUUUUAAUUCUUUUUC
RNAcentral lists this long non-coding RNA (520 nucleotides) under Sarcophilus harrisii (Tasmanian devil). RNAcentral's name for it is "lncRNA (ENSSHAG00000025070.1)". The record is from RNAcentral. Lineage: Eukaryota; Metazoa; Chordata; Mammalia; Dasyuromorphia; Dasyuridae.